Arabidopsis thaliana (thale cress) is the source of this 440-nucleotide long non-coding RNA. RefSeq annotates it as other RNA. The record is from RefSeq. NCBI's taxonomy places the organism in Eukaryota, Viridiplantae, Streptophyta, Magnoliopsida, Brassicales, Brassicaceae. The transcript has a single exon.
AAUAAUCUCCACUCGUUUGAUACGACAUCAAAUUAAUCUCUCCCAUAAAAGUAAUUAAGCCUGAAGUUGAGCAAAGCACAAUUAAGAAGCUCACAUACCUUUUACAAAUCUCUUCAUCGUGAUAAGUACAAAUCUGAAGGUCUUAUACUUGUUUACGAAGGGUAGAGGACUCCUUCCUAAGACAAUAGCGAUGGAUUUUGAUUGGACUUGUUAUUAUCAUUCUCGAAACCUGGAUCAAUUUCUUCGUUUGGUAUAUGUUGUAACUUGUAAGAUUAAUUUUGAAACGUUUCGGAUUGAGUUCAAACAUGUCUGAAUUCAAGCCGAAUCAUCAUGCCUCAAGUUUUUUGAGGAGCAACGCAUCUCAACUCUCUCGAACUUUACUGAAAAACUUGCCUCAACUCUCUCAAACGUCAUUGAAGAACACACCUCGGUAGUUUCAA